CCGCCGCGGUAAUACAGAGGGUGCAAGCGUUAAUCGGAAUUACUGGGCGUAAAGCGCGCGUAGGUGGUUUGUUAAGUUGAAUGUGAAAUCCCCGGGCUCAACCUGGGAACUGCAUCCAAAACUGGCAAGCUAGAGUAGGGCAGAGGGUGGUGGAAUUUCCUGUGUAGCGGUGAAAUGCGUAGAUAUAGGAAGGAACACCAGUGGCGAAGGCGACCACCUGGGCUCAUACUGACACUGAGGUGCGAAAGCGUGGGGAGCAAACAGGAUUAGAUACCCGCGUAGUCCCUGUCUCUUAUACACA
RNAcentral lists this ribosomal RNA (301 nucleotides) under uncultured bacterium. Its description in RNAcentral is "partial 16S ribosomal RNA". It matches the Rfam family "Bacterial small subunit ribosomal RNA", at positions 512 to 810 of the family's 1533-position model. The record is from RNAcentral.